RNAcentral lists this ribosomal RNA (497 nucleotides) under uncultured bacterium. RNAcentral describes it as "partial 16S ribosomal RNA". It matches the Rfam family "Bacterial small subunit ribosomal RNA", at positions 28 to 507 of the family's 1533-position model. The record is from RNAcentral.
GAUGAACGCUGGCGGCGUGCCUAAUACGUGCAAGUCGAGCGAACGGACGAGAAGCUUGCUUCUCUGAUGUUAGCGGCGGACGGGUGAGUAACACGUGGAUAACCUACCUAUAAGACUGGGAUAACUUCGGGAAACCGGAGCUAAUACCGGAUAAUAUUUUGAACCGCAUGGUUCAAAAGUGAAAGACGGUCUUGCUGUCACUUAUAGAUGGAUCCGCGCUGCAUUAGCUAGUUGGUAAGGUAACGGCUUACCAAGGCAACGAUGCAUAGCCGACCUGAGAGGGUGAUCGGCCACACUGGAACUGAGACACGGUCCAGACUCCUACGGGAGGCAGCAGUAGGGAAUCUUCCGCAAUGGGCGAAAGCCUGACGGAGCAACGCCGCGUGAGUGGUGAAGGUCUUCGGAUCGUAAAACUCUGUUAUUAGGGAAGAACAUAUGUGUAAGUAACUGUGCACAUCUUGACGGUACCUAAUCAGAAAGCCACGGCUAACUACGUG